AAUCCUCUUCUAUUAUUCCAUGCACGAACAUUCAGGCGAGACGCCUGUGCUGAGCACUCUGAUUUGUUCAAAGUAAAACGACGGCUAGCGAGCGGGCCCCGCGAACGGGAACCCGCCGCCACAUCCGUCAACUAGCCGGCGGGAGCAAGUGCCACCCCACACGGAGGGGACUUGCCCGCCGGCGCAGAUCCAACUACGAGCUUUUUAACCGCAGCAAUGGUUCUAUGCAUUUUGAGAGCUGGAAUUACCGCGGCUGCUGGCACCAGACUUGCCCUCUCAUAGAUACUCGUUAAAGGGUUUAGAUUGUACCCAUUCCGAUGGACCGGCCUCUUGUGAGAACGGUCUCGUUAUUUUUCGUCACUACCUCCUCUUGCCGAGAGUGGGUAAUUUGCGCGCCUGCUGCCAUCCUUAGACGUAGUGGCCA
RNAcentral lists this ribosomal RNA (424 nucleotides) under Nematoda environmental sample. RNAcentral's name for it is "partial 18S rRNA". The record is from RNAcentral. Lineage: Eukaryota; Metazoa; Nematoda.